CAAGGACAGUGGCGUCAAGCACACGCUGGACAUGUGGCACGGAGCCAAGAAUCUUGGCAAAAAAAUCCAUGCUGUAAAUUACUGCUAUGUCAAGAUGGAUUACUGUAUUUGUUUUAGAAAUGUCAUAUUUGUUAGUUAUCAUUCUGAAGCAGAAUCAUUCUCUUUUUUUCAAUUUCUAGGCCAGCCUCCAAAAAGGCUGUUCACUGUUACUUGUCCGGAAGAAGGAUAUCUGCAACCACUUUUGGUACUGCUGCAAGGCAGCAAAUACAGUGGAGGAUUUCUGGGACAUGUGGACAGGAUUGCUACACCAUGUCACCGGAGAACACCAGUGGGGACUUGGCGGCUGUUACCAUGGCCCAUUGGAGGAAAAUAGCAACAAGGAGCUUAUUCCAAAGGGAAGCACUGCACACCGCAAAAUCACAGAACUGAUCAUGGAUGAGAGGUGGUCAAAGACGAUUCCAAAGUACUUGACCUUUAGAUCCACUGGUGCCCUGGAGUGUUUCCAUGCACACGUUCUGAUGUACGCAUCAAAACGAAACGCCUUCAUACCACCUGUGUAUGCGGCCCGAACACUUUUAGCUGCCCUUGACUACAAUGAACACUGCAGCCGACCCUACUAUGUGAAGGCAGAUGGCAAAUA
Molecule: long non-coding RNA, 640 nt
Organism: Gadus chalcogrammus (walleye pollock)
Lineage: Eukaryota; Metazoa; Chordata; Actinopteri; Gadiformes; Gadidae
Exons: 3
Source: RefSeq, a predicted model, not a curated record